RNAcentral lists this ribosomal RNA (422 nucleotides) under uncultured bacterium. RNAcentral's name for it is "partial 16S ribosomal RNA". It matches the Rfam family "Bacterial small subunit ribosomal RNA", at positions 359 to 776 of the family's 1533-position model. The record is from RNAcentral.
GUCUUGGACAAUGGGGAAACCCGGAACCAGCAAUUGGCCGUGUAAGAUGAAGGUAUACGGUAUGUCCAAUACUUUUGUCAGAGACAAAUUGGUAUCCCAUAAAACGCGCUCAUACUCACGGAAUCUGCAUGAUAAGCACCUACUAACUCCGUACGAUCAGCCGCGGUAAUACGUAGGGUCCAUGCGUUAAUCGGCAUUACUGGGCGUAAAGCGUGUGUAGGCGGUUCGGAAAGAAAGAUGUGAAAUCCCAGGUCUCAACCUUGGAACUGCAUUUUUAACUGCCGAGCUAGAGUAUGUCAGAGGGGGGUAGAAUUCCACGUGUAGCAGUGAAAUGCGUAAAUAUGUGAAGGAAUACCGAUGGCGAAGGCAGCCCCCUGGGAUAAUACUGUCGCUCAGACACGAAAGCGUAGGGAGCAAACAGG